UACGGAGGGGGCUAGCGUUGUUCGGAAUUACUGGGCGUAAAGCGCACGUAGGCGGCUUUGUAAGUUAGAGGUGAAAGCCCGGGGCUCAACUCCGGAAUUGCCUUUAAGACUGCAUCGCUAGAAUUGUGGAGAGGUAAGUGGAAUUCCGAGUGUAGAGGUGAAAUUCGUAGAUAUUCGGAAGAACACCAGUGGCGAAGGCGACUAACUGGACAAGUAUUGACGCUGAGGUACGAAAGCAUGGGGAGCAAACAGG
This 253-nucleotide ribosomal RNA is filed under the name uncultured bacterium. Its description in RNAcentral is "partial 16S ribosomal RNA". It matches the Rfam family "Bacterial small subunit ribosomal RNA", at positions 524 to 776 of the family's 1533-position model. The record is from RNAcentral.